Molecule: non-coding RNA, 45 nt
Filed under: Rheinheimera nanhaiensis E407-8
Lineage: Bacteria; Pseudomonadati; Pseudomonadota; Gammaproteobacteria; Chromatiales; Chromatiaceae
Also listed under: 1 other name
Description: Rheinheimera sp. E407-8 Guanidine-II riboswitch aptamer (mini-ykkC)
Rfam family: Guanidine-II riboswitch aptamer (mini-ykkC)
About the family: Simpler in structure and has fewer highly conserved nucleotide positions than the ykkC-yxkD leader. Despite this each of its two stem-loop structures directly bind free guanidine.
Source: Rfam by way of RNAcentral
AAGUGAGGACGACCUCACCGCUCUAUGUCACACGGGGACGGCCCC